Molecule: long non-coding RNA, 344 nt
Organism: Cynoglossus semilaevis (tongue sole)
Lineage: Eukaryota; Metazoa; Chordata; Actinopteri; Pleuronectiformes; Cynoglossidae
Exons: 3
Source: RefSeq, a predicted model, not a curated record
UGUGUUUGUGUUUUUGAAGUGUGUGAAUAUGACAGGAGGUUGUACGCUGAUGGAGAAACGUUCAGUCCUGAGGGGAGUGGACCCUGUCUGCAGUGCAGAUGUAAGGGUGGUAAUGUAGUUUGCCAUGAAGAGAAAUGCAGUCCGGUCCAGUGUUCCCAGCCAGUUAUAGACCCACUUCGCUGUUGUCCAUCGUGUAAAGCGUGUGUGUUGGAGGAGGUUGAAUAUGAAGAAGGCUCCAGUUGGCAACUUGAGAACUCCUGCUCCAGCUGCAGUUGUGUGAACGGAGACAUUUCGUGUGCACAAAUACAGUGUCCAGCCACGGAGUGCCUGCAUCCAACCAAAAU